RNAcentral lists this ribosomal RNA (127 nucleotides) under Vicugna pacos (alpaca). The record is from RNAcentral. Lineage: Eukaryota; Metazoa; Chordata; Mammalia; Artiodactyla; Camelidae.
GUCAAUGGCCAUACUACCCUGAACGCACCCAAUCCUGUCUGAUCUUGGAAGCUAACAGGGUCAGGCCUGGUUAGUACUUGGAUGGGAGAUAGAUUAAUAUUAGUGGCAAAAGGAAGCACUUUUAUCU